AGCCAGUUAGCUCAGUCAGUUGAGUGUAGCGCUAACAAUGCUAAGGUUGUGGGUUCGAUUCCUUUUCCGUCCA
This is a non-coding RNA of Apaloderma vittatum (bar-tailed trogon), 73 nucleotides long. Lineage: Eukaryota; Metazoa; Chordata; Aves; Trogoniformes; Trogonidae. The record is from Rfam.